RNAcentral lists this ribosomal RNA (118 nucleotides) under Petromyzon marinus (sea lamprey). The record is from RNAcentral. Lineage: Eukaryota; Metazoa; Chordata; Hyperoartia; Petromyzontiformes; Petromyzontidae.
GCCUAUUACCAAAUCACACUAAAUGUACCUGAUCUCUUCAGAUCUCAGAGGCUAAGCAGAGUUGAAUCUGGUUAGUACUUUAAUUUUAAGACCUUCAGCGGUCAGAAUAUGGUGGUGU